Long non-coding RNA from Solanum stenotomum, 650 nucleotides. RefSeq lists it as uncharacterized. The transcript is spliced from 3 exons. The record is from RefSeq and is a predicted model, not a curated record. NCBI's taxonomy places the organism in Eukaryota, Viridiplantae, Streptophyta, Magnoliopsida, Solanales, Solanaceae.
UCUCUUAUCUAUGCAUUUCCUCCAUAGCAGCAUACAAAUUUUACUCAGAUUUCAAAUUUAACUCAACAUCAUCGGGUCUAUCAUGGUAAUGUUGGCAAUUCUUUUGAGUUUCAGUACUCGUUAAAUACGACUUGCGAGUACUUUUUUCUCAAUCUCCCCCUCCAAGCUCUUUUCAUCUUUCUCUGUCUUCAAUUUCAGGAAACUGAUGGCACAAGGCAUAAAUGGGAGGAUUUUAAGACGAGGAAACUAAAAUUACUAGCCGAAAUUUGUAUGGAGAUUUAGAAGGCUGAAGAGUGAAGAUAUCUGAUCUUUUAACUUUUAUGCAAGUGAGAGUUGUCUGAGGUGGAAUUGUUCCACCAGGGACUUCCAAUGGUGUUGAUAAGUUCAUAUGUUACAAUUGGACAAGAUAUUUUGGUUGGUGAAGACUCUUUUAUAUUAGCUCUAUCAAGACUCAAGAGGCAAAAAUGUCAAUUCAAUUGAAGCAUGAGACUAUUUGAAUGAGAAACAUGUCUCAAGUAUAACAUAAAUACAAUCCACCUGUAGUUAGUUAUCUGCCGUUUUCCUUGUGCUAAACUUGUAAACCAUAUCAAAAUUGUCAAUUCGAAGGAAUGAAAUCUAGAUUGCAUUUGAUGUGUAAGUCAUUACUUCCA